ACGUUUUCCAACGCAGCAGUGUUUGGAAAGUUAUUCCAGAGAUGAAGGGUGUUGUGAUUGUGUACCCAAUAGAUGGCAGUAGUGUCCGAUUUUGUAGUUUAAACUCUCCUCUAAACGAAACGAAGCAGCUGACAUUUUUUUUUUUUUUUACAGUUCAGACAGUGCUUAGUUUCCGAAGAAGCCAGCAGAAUUUUGAGAAUAGAAUGUUUAAAAUGUAACAGUAGUAAAUGAAGGAUAAUAUAUCUGUCCAUGCUGCAUAUUGAUGGUUUCAUAACGUAAAUCUGUCAGCUGAAGAAAAAAGGGAGGCGUCACUGGAAGUAAAGCUGAUGGAGAGAGACAAAAAACUGAGCAGAGAGGUUUGUACAUGAACAAGAUUCACGUAAUCGUGAAUGAUUGUGCGCGCUCCUCUUUCCAGUUUUUCCUUUCUGAACUGAACUUCUUAAAUAGAUUUUUUUUUUAUUCUAUUCUAACGUUUCAAAUCGUUUCCAACUGAUUAUGCUUCAUGAUCUGUUUAUAGCCAGUGUAAACCAGUAACAAAUUUGUUCAAUAAAUUAAUAUAAAUGUCAUUUAAAUUAAACAUUGGCUCAUGCAAAGAUGAGUUUCUUUGCAGAUGAAGAGACCGCACUGCUUAAAUGUAUCAGUAUUUUCUAAGGAGAUAUUGUAAGGGUUAGUGGAAGCUUCAAGCAUUUCUGUCACACAUAAUGACCGAGCAUGUCAUUAUAUACAUGCAUUGCCACUGUGGUUCUUUGUUUCUUAGGCGAUGGAAAAGGUUUCAGUGGGUGUGACUGAGUCAGUCUGGAGCAUCAGAGAUCAGAGAUCCAGAAACACACAGGACUCAGAGACCAGCCUCAGUUUACUUUGUUACACUGACACUCAAGAGAGUCAUGAAUCCACUGAUCAGAUCUCUGCAGAGUCUUUGGGUUCAGACGGUAACGCUGAAGAAGAGCAGACAGCACUUAAGACGUGCACAGUGAAUCUGGAGGACUGCAGGAACCUAGCCAAGAUGAAAAGAGAAACCACAGCUGAUGAAGAACAGAGCGAUGAUGAUGAUGAUGAUGAUGAUGUUUUUAUUCCAUCAGUCUCUUCAUUGGACUCUGCAGUAUAA
This 1105-nucleotide long non-coding RNA is filed under the name Carassius auratus (goldfish). RNAcentral describes it as "lncRNA (ENSCARG00000010079.1)". The record is from RNAcentral. Lineage: Eukaryota; Metazoa; Chordata; Actinopteri; Cypriniformes; Cyprinidae.